CGACGCCCAGCUCCGCGGGCAUGCCGAGAGGUGACACCCCCCGCCACACCACGGCUCAGCCAGAGCUUUCUGAUCCUCCCCUUCGUCGGUCCUUGGGAAGACCCUGCGCAGCUGUGCUGCAGAAAUCGCAACUCCUCUUGCCAUUUUCAAUGCUCUGAGGCUGCUGCAAACCGUGCAGCACAGGCCAGCCCACUGCAAUGCACAGCCAGUGCUCUCGGCUCCUUGUGACACGGGUGUUCCUGCUCAUCCAGGGCAGAGAAUGUCUUUUCGAAGGUCACUAGCCCACGCAUCAGUUCAGCGGUCCACAGGAAGGAAGUUAAUAACACUUCUGUGGUCCCUAGCAGCUAAGUGUCCUUACGCCAGCUUAUACCAGCAAAUUUGGUAUGAAAUUUGAUAUAAUAGGAGGCCUCAGCGAAAGGACCGUGGAGUGAAAAAAAAGAUUCAAGAAAUCAUAGAAUGUCCUGAGUUGGAAGGGACCCAUAAGGAUCAUCGAGUCAAACUCCUGGCUCCACACAGGACCAGCCGAAUCAGAGCUCGUGACUGAGAGUGUUAUCCAGACGCUUCUUGAACUCAGUCAAGCUUGGUGCUGUGACCACUUCCCUGGUUAUUAGAAGACUAAUAACAUGCUGGAAAGAUCGCAGCAUUUCAGCAUUAACUGAAGCUGGGAAAAAAAGCUACAGUCUUCCUAUUGUUUUCAAGAUUUAAAGUCAUGUCUUAAAUGACUGCUUUGCUUUUUUAUAAGGAAAUAAAUGCAUAAACUGUUUAAAGA
Molecule: long non-coding RNA, 769 nt
Organism: Grus americana (Whooping crane)
Lineage: Eukaryota; Metazoa; Chordata; Aves; Gruiformes; Gruidae
Exons: 4
Source: RefSeq, a predicted model, not a curated record